Molecule: ribosomal RNA, 490 nt
Filed under: uncultured bacterium
Lineage: Bacteria
Description: bacterial SSU rRNA
Rfam family: Bacterial small subunit ribosomal RNA
Source: RNAcentral
UCACUUCUGGAUGAUCCCGCGGCGUAUUAGUUAGUUGGUGAGGUAAAGGCCCACCAAGACGAUGAUACGUAGCCGACCUGAGGGGGUAAUCGGCCACAUUGGGACUGAGACACGGCCCAAACUCCUACGGGAGGCAGCAGUAGGGAAUCUUCCACAAUGGACGAAAGUCUGAUGGAGCAAUGCCGCGUGAGUGAAGAAGGGUUUCGGCUCGUAAAACUCUGUUGUUAAAGAAGAACACCUUUGAGAGUAACUGUUCAAGGGUUGACGGUAUUUAACCAGAAAGCCACGGCUAACUACGUGCCAGCAGCCGCGGUAAUACGUAGGUGGCAAGCGUUGUCCGGAUUUAUUGGGCGUAAAGCGAGCGCAGGCGGUUUUUUAAGUCUGAUGUGAAAGCCUUCGGCUUAACCGGAGAAGUGCAUCGGAAACUGGGAGACUUGAGUGCAGAAGAGGACAGUGGAACUCCAUGUGUAGCGGUGGAAUGCGUAGAUAU